UACGAAGGGGGCUAGCGUUGCUCGGAUUUACUGGGCGUAAAGCGCGCGUAGGCGGAUAUUUAAGUCAGGGGUGAAAUCCCGGGGCUCAACCUCGGAAUUGCCUUUGAUACUGAAUAUCUAGAGUUCGGAAGAGGUAAGUGGAAUUCCAAGUGUAGAGGUGAAAUUCGUAGAUAUUUGGAAGAACACCAGUGGCGAAGGCGACUUACUGGUCCGAUACUGACGCUGAGGUGCGAAAGCGUGGGGAGCAAACAGG
Molecule: ribosomal RNA, 253 nt
Filed under: uncultured bacterium
Lineage: Bacteria
Description: partial 16S ribosomal RNA
Rfam family: Bacterial small subunit ribosomal RNA
Source: RNAcentral